UAACGCGUGAGCAAUCUGCCUUUAAGAGGGGGGUAACAGUCGGAAACGGCUGCUAAUACCGCAUAAAGCAUUGAAACCGCAUGAUUUUGAUGCCAAAGGAGCAAUCCGCUUUUAGAUGAGCUCGCGUCUGAUUAGCUAGUUGGCGGGGUAACGGCCCACCAAGGCGACGAUCAGUAGCCGGACUGAGAGGUUGAACGGCCACAUUGGGACUGAGACACGGCCCAG
Molecule: ribosomal RNA, 225 nt
Filed under: uncultured bacterium
Lineage: Bacteria
Description: partial 16S ribosomal RNA
Rfam family: Bacterial small subunit ribosomal RNA
Source: RNAcentral